This 546-nucleotide ribosomal RNA is filed under the name uncultured bacterium. RNAcentral describes it as "bacterial SSU rRNA". It matches the Rfam family "Bacterial small subunit ribosomal RNA", at positions 8 to 526 of the family's 1533-position model. The record is from RNAcentral.
AGAGUUUGAUCAUGGCUCAGAACGAACGCUGGCGGCGUGGAUAAGACAUGCAAGUCGAGCGCUCAUUCGGUUGCAGCAAUGUAACCGAGUGGGAGCGGCGCAAGGGCGCGUAACACGUGGGUAAUUUGCCAUGAAGUUUGGGAUAACUCGCUGAAAGGCGAGCUAAUACCGGAUGUGACAAUCGAGCGGCAUCGUUUGAUUGUUAAAGUUGGGGACCGUAAGGCCUGACGCUUCUUGAUAAGCCCGCGGCCUAUCAGCUAGUUGGUGAGGUAACGGCUCACCAAGGCUAAGACGGGUAGCUGGUCUGAGAGGACGACCAGCCACACUGGAACUGAGACACGGUCCAGACACCUACGGGUGGCAGCAGUCGAGAAUUUUUCACAAUGGGCGAAAGCCUGAUGGAGCGACGCCGCGUGGGGGAUGAAUGGCUUCGGCCCGUAAACCCCUGUCAUUUGCGAACAAACCUCGCUAUUUAAAAGAUGGCGAGCUGAUUGUAGCGAAAGAGGAAGGGACGGCUAACUUCUGUGCUAGCAGCCGCGGUAAUAC